RNAcentral lists this ribosomal RNA (603 nucleotides) under uncultured bacterium. RNAcentral's name for it is "bacterial SSU rRNA". It matches the Rfam family "Bacterial small subunit ribosomal RNA", at positions 55 to 655 of the family's 1533-position model. The record is from RNAcentral.
AUGCAAGUCGAGCGGUAACAGAUCCAGCUUGCUGGAUGCCGACGAGCGGCGGACGGGUGAGUAAUGCAUAGGAAUCUGCCCGAUAGUGGGGGAUAACCUGGGGAAACCCAGGCUAAUACCGCAUACGUCCUACGGGAGAAAGGGGGCUCCGGCUCCCGCUAUGGGAUGAGCCUAUGUCGGAUUAGCUAGUUGGUGAGGUAACGGCUCACCAAGGCCACGAUCCGUAGCUGGUCUGAGAGGAUGAUCAGCCACAUCGGGACUGAGACACGGCCCGAACUCCUACGGGAGGCAGCAGUGGGGAAUAUUGGACAAUGGGGGAAACCCUGAUCCAGCCAUGCCGCGUGUGUGAAGAAGGCCCUCGGGUUGUAAAGCACUUUCAGCGAGGAAGAACGCCUAGCGGUUAAUACCCGCUAGGAAAGACAUCACUCGCAGAAGAAGCACCGGCUAACUCCGUGCCAGCAGCCGCGGUAAUACGGAGGGUGCAAGCGUUAAUCGGAAUUACUGGGCGUAAAGCGCGCGUAGGUGGCUUGAUAAGCCGGUUGUGAAAGCCCCGGGCUCAACCUGGGAACGGCAUCCGGAACUGUCAAGCUANAGUGCAGGAGA